UCCGAGUUGACCCCGGCAGUCUUCUACGAGUCCCCACCAUUACGUGCUGGCAACAUAGAACGAGGGUUGCGCUCGUUGCGGGACUUAACCCAACAUCUCACGACACGAGCUGACGACAACCAUGCACCACCUGUGAGGCGCCCUUGCGGACCCAACAUUUCUGCUGGUUUUCACCCCAUGUCAAGCCUUGGUAAGGUUCUUCGCGUUGCAUCGAAUUAAUCCGCAUGCUCCGCCGCUUGUGCGGGCCCCCGUCAAUUCCUUUGAGUUUCAGCCUUGCGACUGUACUCCCCAGGCGGCAUAUUUAACGCGUUAGCUCCGGCACAGAUCAACUGAAUGACCUACACCAAAUAUGCAUCGUUUAGGGCGUGGACUAC
RNAcentral lists this unclassified non-coding RNA (374 nucleotides) under uncultured bacterium. RNAcentral's name for it is "contains 16S-23S intergenic spacer region". The record is from RNAcentral.